RNAcentral lists this long non-coding RNA (379 nucleotides) under Homo sapiens (human). Its description in RNAcentral is "non-protein coding lnc-TREM2-2:1". The record is from RNAcentral. Lineage: Eukaryota; Metazoa; Chordata; Mammalia; Primates; Hominidae.
ACGCCUGUAAUCCCAGCACUUUGGGAGGCCAAGACGGGUGGAUCACGAAGUCAGGAGAUCGAGACCAUCCUGGCUAACAUGGUGAAACCCCGUCUCUACUAAAAACACACACACACACACACACAAAAAUUAGCCGGGCAUGGCGGCGGGUGCCUGUAGUCCCAGCUACUCGGGAGGCUGAGGCAGGAGAAUGCUGUGAACCCAGGAGGCGGAGCUUGCAGUGAGCGGAGAUCACACCUCCAGCCUGGGUGACAGAGCGAGACUCUGUCUCAAAAAAAAAAAAAAAAAAAAAAAAGGCAGGAAACAACAGGUGCUGGAGAGGAUGUGGAGAAAUAGGAACACUUUUACACUGUUGGUGGGACUGUAAACUAAUUCAACC